Malus domestica (apple) is the source of this 846-nucleotide non-coding RNA. NCBI's taxonomy places the organism in Eukaryota, Viridiplantae, Streptophyta, Magnoliopsida, Rosales, Rosaceae. The record is from RefSeq and is a predicted model, not a curated record.
GUUUCAGUCUCUAAACCCACCUUCUCGACUUCUGCUCUCCCCGUCUCCCUCCUCGCCUCUCUUCUCUGCACCAAGCACCUCGAUUUAGGGCUUCACCAUUUCUCUUCGAAUCAAGGUCUCUAUUUCUCUGAUUGUUAUCCAAUUGCUUGAUUAAAUCAUUAGGAUUAAAUUUUACUUGGAAAAUUUGAAUUAUGUGGACCGAACCCACCUUCUUUUUUUGUAAUGUUUGUUGCGGCAACCAUAUCUCUGUUCUUGACCCAAUGCAAGAAGUCAGUAACUUGACCAUGACACCUCCUUUUUUUGCAUUGUUUGCUGCGGCAACCAUAUAUCUGUUCUUGACCCAAUGCAAGAAGUCAGUAACUUGACCAUGACUUGCAGGAUGUUUUCAUGUGUUAUUUUGUUUCCGCUUACGAUCUUCAGUAGAUACCCCAUGGGUGAAAUUUUUGGCUUCCCAAACUGCCAGAAGAGUCAAAUCCCUCUUGGGUUAAUGCUUUAUUCUUUUUGCGAUUUUUCAAUGCUUUUUUAUAUGGCCCACUAAGUCUGUGACGCUGAAGUUUUAAGCCCCAAAUGAUUAUUUUCUUGCAUGAAAUUUCUGUCUGCAAGUUUUAUGAAGGUGUUGUUUCUUCUUACGACCUGCCAAAAAUAAACACUUGAAACUUUGUGCCCAUUUUGGAUUCACUUUGAACUUGGUUGAGACCGAUCUAAUCCGGCAUUCCCAAGUGAGUUUUGCAUGUUUCUCAAUGUAUAUGGUUUCAAUUUUUUGUUCCGGUAAUAGAAACUAUGUCCUUUGACUCUGCUUACAUGCUUUUUAACAUGGAGAGAAAUUGAAUUUGUAUUUCAGAAUUA